This 406-nucleotide ribosomal RNA is filed under the name uncultured bacterium. RNAcentral describes it as "partial 16S ribosomal RNA". It matches the Rfam family "Bacterial small subunit ribosomal RNA", at positions 30 to 526 of the family's 1533-position model. The record is from RNAcentral.
AUUGAACGCUGGCGGCAGGCCUAACACAUGCAAGUCGAACGCGUGGCGGGCGGGUGAGUAAUGUCUGGGAAAAUGCCUGAUGGAGGGGGAUAACACCUGGAAACGGUACUUAUAACCCCGUACCCGCAGAUGUGCGCAGAGGGGAUUUGAUCGUGGUUGGGGUAACGGAUCACCAAGGCGACGAUCCCCAGCUGGUCUGAGAGGAUGACCAGCCACACUGGAACUGAGACACGGUCCAGACUCCUACGGGAGGCAGCAGUGGGGAAUAUUGCACAAUGGGCGAAACCCUGAUGCAGCCAUGCCGCGUGUGUGAAGAAGGCCUUCGGGUUGUAAAGUACUUUCAGCGGGGAGGCGUUACCCGCAGAAGAAGCACCGGCUAACUCCGUGCCAGCCGCCGCGGUAAUAC